GAGCCGAGCCCGGAGUCCCCCGGUGGGUACGGGAGGGUCCUGGGCGGCCCCAGAGGGCUUGGAGGGUUUUAUUUUUAUUUUUUUUUUUUUUUAAUCUCUCCUCUGAGAUUCCCCCCUCUCCCGAUGUGCCUGCUGACCCCGCAGCCUGUGUGGACCCCAAGGAGUGCACCCAUGAGUGUGGUGGAGCUGAUGCCCUGGGGGCUGCGGGGUCUGAUGAUCGCGGUGAUGGUGGCAGCGCUGGUGUCACCCCUGACCUCCCCCUUCCCCAGCAGCACUCUCUCCUCCACGGGCACCUGGAGGGAGCUGCUCCUCGUGGGCAGGCACUGACCAGAGCUUUCGGGGAGACCCGUGGGGCCGGUCGAGCCUGCAGAGCGCCUCCACUCAGCCUGGCUUAUGCAAGGAACACAAACCCUUGGAUUAUUUUAUGGAUGAAAGAGCUGGAAAUGCAGACGGGGCGCUCGGUGCAGCCUCUCCCGGUGUCCCCCAGC
Serinus canaria (Common canary) is the source of this 488-nucleotide long non-coding RNA. RefSeq lists it as uncharacterized. NCBI's taxonomy places the organism in Eukaryota, Metazoa, Chordata, Aves, Passeriformes, Fringillidae. The transcript has 3 exons. The record is from RefSeq and is a predicted model, not a curated record.